GCUUAGUCAGUUUUCCCACGACUAUGUUUUCCUACACUUCGUCAAUUUUCAUUCCCAAAACCUAACCACCGCGACAGCCGUCUAGCAACCGACAUCCACUUCCUCCUUCUCCGCCUCCGACCGUUCCCCUCCUUCUUCUCCUCCUUGUCCGCCUCUGACCGUUCUCUAGUUUGAAGACGGAGCCGCAGCUCCCAAUCAGCAAGGACGAGAUCCGAAGACACAGACCAUCCUUAUCACCCCCAAAACACAGAUUGUAGUCGCUGUCUCUUCUUUCUCUCUCCAUGGGCCUCUCCAUCUCAGCCCCUCUCUUCGACCAUCGAGGCGUCGACGGCCCUCGCUCUCCUCGUUAGUAACUCGUUUUUGAGCCCUACAAGGUCUGCAAAGUGGAUCUUCUUGCGCAAAGUUGCUCUUCAUGGCUCAUAAUUUGGGGUGCUCGGCACUUGGUGUCUAGUAGCUUAACACAUUGGGGUUCCUUCCUACACAUGCAUCCGAUUGGGUUUCAUCCUUACCCCCUGCUCAGGUUAAGAGCAAGCUUAAAGGUCACUCUAAAAGGAUAACUGGCCUAGCAUUCUCUCAUGUAUUAAAUGUGCUAAUUUCAUCAGGAGCAGAUGCUCAGGUACACCUAAUCAGAUCUUGUUCUUAUGUAGUUUUGCUACUGUGAUAGUAGUCCAAAAUCUAAUCAGACGCCCAGAUAUCUUUCCUGCUUAUGUAUAACUGAGGAAAGGUAAUAUAUCUAACAGGCAUACAAAUUACCAAAACUCGCAGAUUACUGGGAAAACCGAUGUCUAGCAUAAAUAUGGACAUCAGUUCAAACUAUACUACAGAAUGUAGAUUGAAUGUCUAGUGAAAUAUUAUGUACCAAACACACGAAAAGCUUAUGAACCAUAAGCUAAAAUUUAUGAGAACCGAUGUGUAAAAUAUUAUCAGACAUCGUUUCUAAAUCAGAAACGAUGUUAAAAUGGAUAAUUGUGUUGUUAGACCUAUAUUUCAUUAAGCAUCUAAUGCCAAAAUAUGAAGGUUUGACAAUAGCUAAACACACAAAAAUGGUGAUCACAUUAACGUUUUUACAUUGGUUCUGAACCUUAAACCGAUGUCUCGUUGCAAAAUAGACAUCAGUUGUGAACUGAUGUCUUAGUUUUGGCGAUCUUUAACAUCGCCCACUAAGACAUCGGAUUUUUUUUUUUUAACAUCAGUUGUGAACUGAUGUCUAUGAACUUUAUCCUAGUAGU
Molecule: long non-coding RNA, 1229 nt
Organism: Rosa chinensis
Lineage: Eukaryota; Viridiplantae; Streptophyta; Magnoliopsida; Rosales; Rosaceae
Exons: 4
Source: RefSeq, a predicted model, not a curated record